UACAGAGGUGGCAAGCGUUGUUCGGAAUUACUGGGCGUAAAGGGUUCGUAGGUGGCUUGCUAAGUCAGACGUGAAAUCCCUCAGCUUAACUGGGGAACUGCGUCUGAUACUGGCGAGCUUGAGUGCAGGAGAGGAACGCGGAAUUCCAGGUGUAGCGGUGAAAUGCGUAGAUAUCUGGAGGAACACCGGUGGCGAAGGCGGCGUUCUGGACUGCAACUGACACUGAUGAACGAAAGCCAGGGGAGCAAACGGG
Molecule: ribosomal RNA, 253 nt
Filed under: uncultured bacterium
Lineage: Bacteria
Description: partial 16S ribosomal RNA
Rfam family: Bacterial small subunit ribosomal RNA
Source: RNAcentral